Molecule: long non-coding RNA, 569 nt
Filed under: Equus caballus (horse)
Lineage: Eukaryota; Metazoa; Chordata; Mammalia; Perissodactyla; Equidae
Description: lncRNA (ENSECAG00000053271.1)
Source: RNAcentral
AAUGAGCAAGUCGCUCAGCCAGAGUGCGUUCCCAGGGAGACUAGCAUAAGUGAGAAAGAGUAAGAAGCAGAAGAGCAUGAAUGAGAGAGAGCAGAAAGAAGAAUGAAGAACCAAGGCAGAAAGAGUGACAGGAGAUGCAGUAGUGGAGAGAGGCCAGAGACCCGGAGCCCCUCUUGCGUUUCACAGAUGUUUGUGACAGCCCAACUUGUGGCUGGAUCUGAAAUACGAGUUAUUUAUUGAGAACCUAGUAUGUCAUACGUUGGAGAAAGAAGAGUGACUGUAUCGCGAUCCUUGCUCAUGUGGAGCCUGUAGGAAUUCUGCGUGUAACCUGGCUACAUCCUCUUCUUGUGAAAAUAGAAUAGGAAGAUGUUUCCUCUGGGAAGUGAUCUGUGGCGACCAUGGUCAAUGUAGGAAGACAGUCAGGUAAAGGGGACUUGGUAUGGUCGCUCUGCCUGCAGGAACGAUGAACCCCAUCUGUAAGAAGAGCACAGGAUGUGACUGGAGACUCAGGGAACAAAUCCGUGGCCUCAAGAGGGCUUCGGGUAAUGAGUGUGUCUUCAAACUAAGCA